CUCUUUCUCUCUCUCUGUGGCAGAGCUGAGAAAGAGGCAGGCAGGCACAGCCCUCUGAGCACAGUCAGUGGAUCGCCUAAGAGCUCACUAUUGAUCCGGGAGGGAGGGACAGUCAGUCAGAAACAUACAGACAGACUUGUUCUACUAAAGAGCUCCAACUCAUUACCUCAGCACCCCCACUAUACAGCCACAUCAGUAGCAUCACCUCUAUUUGUUGCUGUUUCAUGAGCACAAGGAUUUUACGAAUGGGGUUACUAUCCCCAUGCCCAACCCUUCACCAUUACUGCUUUCUGGGGGUGCCGUUCAGGAAUUGAACCCUGUGUCGCAAGAGUAAGCAGUGACUAUUACAUCACUGCUAUAAUAUAAUGCAACAUGUCACUGCACAUUGACAACACACAGAGGUAUUAACACUAAAUCCCAGAGGUAUUAACACUAAAUCCCAGAGGUAUUAACACUAAAUCCCAGAGGUAUUAACACUAAAUCCCAGAGGUAUUAACACUAAAGCCCAGAGGUAUUAACACUAAAGCCCAGAGGUAUUAACACUAAAGCCCAGAGGUAUUAACACUAAAGCCCAGAGGUAUUAACACUAAAGCCCAGAGGUAUUAACACUAAAUCCAAGAGGUAAUAACACUACAGUAAAGCUCAGAGGUAUUAACUCUAAAGCCCAGAGGUAAUAACACUAAAUCCAAGAGGUAUUAACUCUAAAGCCCAGAGAUAAUAACACUAAAUCCAAGAGGUAAUAACACUACAGUAAAGCUCAGAGGUAUUAACUCUAAAGCCCAGAGAUAAUAACACUAAAUCCAAGAGGUAAUAACACUACAGUAAAGCCCAGAGGUAUUAACACUAAAGCCCAGAGGUAAUAACACUAAAUCCAAGAGGUAAUAACACUACAGUAAAGCCCAGAGGUAUUAACACUAAAGCCCAGAGGUAAUAACACUAAAUCCAAGAGGUAAUAACACUACAGUAAAGCCCAGAGGUAUUAACACUAAGGUAAAGCCCAGGAGGUGGUGUGCUGUCUACAGCAGCAAGAAAAUGACAUGUGCCUAAUGGUGUGUCGAUUCCUCAGCCAGUUCCAGUGAUUGUAGAGCUACUGCUGGCUGUCAUUACUGUCAUUACAGAGAGUGAAUGACAGCUCUGUCUGUCUCCUGCCGUGUGACGUUAGCAGGCUCUGGGCCAUGCCAUCCGCAGCGGGAAUGGUGAACUGACGCCACGCCACAAACUACACACUGCUUCCUGUCAGGCCCGACACCGAGUCAGACAACACUUCCUGUCUUCUUACUGCUCUCUCUCUCUCCCCCAAUUGGCCGAAAGACAACAAUCCUCCAAAAACGUGUGGUGCUGCACAUGAAUAAUACUGAAGAAUGUGUUUUUUUUGCAUAACAUGCAGCUUUUGAUUGCAACAUCGUAGAUCAGUUCUCAUCAUUCAGUUGAAUUGGUUAUGUGUGUGUAGACACCCAAACUCUGCUGCAAUAUGAGGGGGGGAGAAGGGUUGUCAUUGAGCUGUGUGCAAGUGAUCAGUGAUGUGAGGAUUGUGAUUAGAGGCCCCGGGGCCCUCAGGAACUGAUAAGAGAGUGGU
This 1576-nucleotide long non-coding RNA is filed under the name Salmo salar (Atlantic salmon). RNAcentral describes it as "lncRNA (ENSSSAG00000100432.1)". Lineage: Eukaryota; Metazoa; Chordata; Actinopteri; Salmoniformes; Salmonidae. The record is from RNAcentral.